CAUAUCGGAAAAAAAACAUUCAAAUCCAAUGCGGCCUAUUUUGACCAAUGCAUAGAGUAACUAUCAAAUUUAUAAACAUAGUCGAUGAUUUUAUGAUCACAUCCUACACUCUAAAAAACGUUGGGUUGUUUUUUCAACACAACUGCUGGGUUGAGCCAGUUGGGUUAUUUUGUUGGGUAGUUUUUGUGUAACCCAACUCGUUGGGUUAAAUGUUGGGUAAUUUUGAAGCAGAGCCAACUUAAUAGAUACAUAUAGCCGUUUCUCAAUAUUACUUUGUCUAGUCCACAAAAUGUAUUUUUAAGAUAAGUUUAGGUGAGAAUAUAUGUAUAAUGUUGAAAUUUGCAGUCAAUUUGUAAAGAGAGCGCCAAUUUUAAAAUUUUAUUACACAUAGUCGGAAUGUUACCGGCGCGACCACCGGGUGUCAGUGUUGUUCUUCCCCAGAGAGAACUCCUCCCAUCCCCCCACACAGACGCGUCAGCUGAACUCCUGCUUCUCACUGCAACGUUACCUGACGCGGGAGUUUAUCACCUCAGGAUUUAUGAACGGUUUUUCAUCGACUUAUCUUUGAUUUAUUGAAGGAAAAGAGUUCACAAGACUUCUCUAUGUUAUUACCUGACCAUGCCGAAAAGCUAUUUGAAACUUGGGCAUUGCAUUUUACAGACAGAAUCCUGCAACUUCCCAUCCAGGAACAUCAACAAAUCACCUCCAGAACCCCAUGAUGAUAUUCCAACUCCUGUCUACAAAAGUGGAAAAAAAUCUUAAGUCUACAUGUUGGGACCAACAUGAUUGCAUUCUUGUGAGAGGCUGAGGUGACAAAACCAUUCCCUUUUGUCCUUGGAUUGGAAGAUGACGAUCUCUGCCAUCAAGCCUUCGUUGUUUUUGACAGACAGUCACUCCAGCAAUACACCCUCCUUGGUGAUGUUGACAUGUUUUAAACUUUUUUUAUGUUUUGGACAUUAAUUUUACUAAGCAGUGCACAUCAGUAUGGGUGUUUUUGCAGACCGUUGUUUAGAAACUCCCAAGAACGGAAUUCCCUUUUGUAAGAAGUCUGUGCAGUUAUUUCAUUUGUCAUGCUAAGGUGAUUCAUGUUGAUCAUAUGUUGACUGUUUGUGCAACUAUGUGUUGAUCUUAUUUGUUACAUUAACUAUUUCUUAUUACACGGUUCUGUAAAAUGCUAGAUUCUGAUUGGCCAGUCGUGACAUUCUACUACUGCUCAAAACUAAAAACUCCGAUGCUGCAAAUCAUUUUGACAGGUACAGUUUAAUAUUAGUAGUAGAAGAACUUUAUUGUCCCCGUGGGGCAAUUGGAUUUGCGGCGCAGUCUCAAGGCACUACAUGACAACAUAUAACAAAAACCAAUACGAUACAUUACAAAAACACUAAAAUACAUACAUACAAAUAAAAUACCAUCGGGUCUAACCCUGCCAGCUGGACAGAUAGCUUAUUUUAAUUGAUUUAACUCCUUAAUGGCUUGUGGUACAAAAGAAAAUUUUGAUCUGUUCUUGGUCAUAAGAGGUGGGCAGAAACGACGCCUAGAUGGUAAUAAAUUAAAAUGGGAUGCUAAUGGGUGUGUGUGAUCGCAUACAAUGUUUUUGGCUUUUUUCAACAUUCUGUCCUUGUAGAUGAUAUUAAACAAAAAUUAAAUGUCAAUUUCUAUUAAUAACAUAUCCGACAUUACAUUUACAAAUUAUUAAACCAAUGUGUUCGUGAUAUUUGUCCUGAAGAAACUGUUGGGGCUUUUUUUGUGAUAACCUGCUGCCAAUACAUUAUCCCUUACUUGUACAACUUUUUACUUUUGUAAUGUUAACUGGGCAUCUGUAAUUUUAGAUUAUGAGAUAUGAAAUAUACAUUUUUUUAAUCAGAAAUGUGAUUUUUUGUGUAGGGCUAUGUACUCUUUUAUUGUUCAUGUGCAAUAAAUAUGCUUUUUUAAUUAAAUCAAUGCUUUGUUAUUUAUAGACACCACAAUGAAAGGAAUGAAAGCAAUUUAAACCACCAAAAUUUCAGCUUUAAACACAUUAACCAAACAUUGGGUUGUUUCAACCCAACAAAAAGUUAUUUCUACCCAACAGAUGGGUUAAAAAAAUUAACCCAACGAGUUGGGUAGAUUGUACAACCCAACUUGUUGGGUUAAAAUAACCCAGCAUUGGGUUGGUCCAUAUUUAACCCAACGUUUUUUAGCGUGUAGGAUACCCUUUGAACUUAAAGCUUAAAUGACCAAAACCUUAAGAUUAAGGUCUGGUUUCACAGACAAGGCUUAGCUAAAGCCAGGACUAGAAUCUUUUAUAAACAUGCCUUAGAAAAAGAUGUUACUGGGGUGCAUCUUGAGCCAUAUCAAUAGCAAUGGCAUAUUUUAAGAUCUGUCAGUGCAAGUUGUUUUCAAUUGAGAAAUUCAAACAUGAGUUUUAAGCCUCCAGGGCAAAUUUAGGUUGGGCAUUAAUAUACAUUUCUUUAUAAAAUGAUUUCUUUUGUCUUUUAAAUGAGUGAGUUAUGUGUCAUCAAUGGUGACUCUUUCAAUAAUGCAAAGUGUGCAAAACUGUACAUAAGGCAAAAGGUAAUUAAAGCUAAAAUAUAAUAAACAUUCUUAACUAAUUAAUUCCCAUAAAUUAUUUUAUUUUAUUCUUAUUUUAUACAUUUAACACCUUUAUAAUGAAUAACGAAUGAUUAAGUCUUAAAGUGGCCAUGUCACAAGACUUUAAGAUGUCAAAUAAAUCUUUGGUGUCCCCAGAGCACAUAUAUGUUAAGUUUUAGCUCAAAAUACCAUAUAAAUAAUUUAUUAUAGCAUGUAAAAAUUGACACUUUGUAGGUGUGAGCAAAAAUGUGGCGUUUUGGGGUGCGUCCUUUAAAAUGCAAAUGAGCUGAUGAAGUGCAAACACUGAUCACAAUGAUGGCGGUUUGUUGCAAUUGAAACUCAAUUGUACUGUGAGUUAUUUUCUCUCUUUUUCUCUACACUAAAUGGCAGUGCUGUGAUUGGAUAGGACAGAUUAAGGGGAAGUAUUAUGAGAUCAUAAGGAGAGCCAAAUUUCAACAACCUAUUUUUUCAUGUGCUUGUAGAGAAUGGUUUACCAAAACUAAGUACUGAGUUGAUCUUUUUCACAUUUUCUAGGUUAAUAGAAGCACUGGGGACCCAAUCAUAGCACUUAAACAUGGAAAAAGUCAGAUUUUCAUGCCAUGGCCCCUUUAAGUAGAGGUCUUCUCGGCUCCAAAGAAAUGUACCAGACCCGAAAUGACUUGAAUCACUUUUUAAGUUAGUGCUGUGUUCAAAAUAUCGAUACGACGAUACAUUUUCAUGAACCUUCCAUAUCGAUUCAGAUGCACUUUUGAAAGUAGCGUGACGAAUCGCUGUUGCUCCGUGAUCAAUAUGGAAUGGGUGCAUGUGACUCAUGGAGUGCGUAGAGUGAAAGGUAGUGGGGUAUACUUUCACUUUCCGUGUCCGUCUCGCGGGCGCACGCAUCUGACAACUUGCGCGCCGCGUACUCUCUUGCACGCGUGCGUAUUUAAAAUCAAUGAGUUCAGUAUGAAAGUCCAGAUAUCUUAGCCUAUACUACUGCAAAGGGCUUUAUUAGCGACUCUCUUAUAAAACAGUACUAACGCAUUUGAGAAGAAACAUGACAAAGAGCUGCAUGUGAAAAGUGUAACAUAUGUCUAGAGAAGAGAUACAGAGCUACUUCAAACUAUAGCUGUCACCUAAAUAAUCUGAUAGAUAUAGAAUAAUUAAAUGAGAGACAAAUAUAAUGCCUAAAGUAAGGCACAAUCUUUGUAAAACUGUUUUGAAGAAAACAUGUUAAGUACUAACUUAAUUUUAAGUAUUUCGACAAGCUACCCCAAAAGCUAAUAAAUGGCAAAAACACAACUGUUCCAACACUGCUUAUUCAAUGUACAACAUACAGAUAAUAAUGUUACUAAAUUCUGAACAAAAAUGUCAUUCAAAAUAGUCUUGUAUUGUGAUGUGCAUCGUAUCGUGGCCUUGUAUCGGGAUACGUAUUGUAUCGGGAAAUUGUUGGCGAUACACAGCCCUAACACAUGAGACAAUUCGGGUUGUCUCGGGUACAAUCGGAAAAACACAUUCAUUUAAAAUUACACAAGACUAGGGGUGGGCGGUAUGAGCAAAA
Molecule: non-coding RNA, 4108 nt
Organism: Misgurnus anguillicaudatus (oriental weatherfish)
Lineage: Eukaryota; Metazoa; Chordata; Actinopteri; Cypriniformes; Cobitidae
Source: RefSeq, a predicted model, not a curated record